Molecule: long non-coding RNA, 694 nt
Filed under: Marmota monax (woodchuck)
Lineage: Eukaryota; Metazoa; Chordata; Mammalia; Rodentia; Sciuridae
Source: RNAcentral
AAAUUGCCAGAAUAGGGAUUACAAAUUAAAGGGUUCUGAGAAUAAAAACUGCCAAAUCUCUCUCCAAGGUUAUGUGUCAUAUUCAAUGUCAUCAAUAUAUUCAAUGUAUUUUUAAAACAUUUUAUGCAAACAUAUAUAAAAAUGAAGCAAACAGUAGAAGGAGUCCCUGUGAUCACCAACCGUUAGCAAGAUGGACAGUAUUGUUUCAUUUAUACCUAAUCCCCUGGAUUGUUUGGCAUCAAAUACUAAACAUAAUGCUGUUUCACCAGUACGUAAAUUAAAUAUAUUUAAAGCAUUUUUUGUUAAGAGAAAGUUACUGUCUACUUUUACAAGGAGACCAUCUAUAUUAGAAAGUUGUUCAUAUUUGUUUCAAAGUGUGAUCUGGAGCUUCAGGAAAGUGGUUAAUGAAUUCCUGUAAUAGUGCUUAAGUUAACCAUGCAAAACCGAGCAGCUGGUCACCCCUGCUGGGCAACACUGCCCCCCCCACCCCAAGUCCAUGUUUGUCUUCUCCAUUUCCAUUUCUCCCCAAAUCCAGGGGCCCCUGGAGUCUUGUUAAUGCUGCCUUGAGAGGCCCUCAGUCCUGUUUCCUCCUCUCUGUGGCUGUGGUCUGGCUCUCAUGGUUGUUUGCCUGCACCACCUCCACAGCCUCCUCACUAGCUUCUCUGCUUCAAGAUUGCUCUGUUGCCAACCUUCC